GCGGUAAUACCAGCUCUCCGAGUGGUAGGGACGAUUAUUUGGCCUAAAGCGUUCGUAGCCGGCCUGGCAAGUCUCUCGUUAAAUCCAGCGACCUAAUCGCUGGGCUGCGGGGGAUACUGUCGGGCUUGGGAGCGGGAGAAGCCGACGGUAUUCCCGGGGUAGGAGUGAAAUCCUGUAAUCCCGG
This 184-nucleotide ribosomal RNA is filed under the name uncultured archaeon. RNAcentral describes it as "partial 16S ribosomal RNA". It matches the Rfam family "Archaeal small subunit ribosomal RNA", at positions 467 to 651 of the family's 1478-position model. The record is from RNAcentral.